RNAcentral lists this ribosomal RNA (443 nucleotides) under uncultured bacterium. Its description in RNAcentral is "partial 16S ribosomal RNA". It matches the Rfam family "Bacterial small subunit ribosomal RNA", at positions 338 to 795 of the family's 1533-position model. The record is from RNAcentral.
CCUACGGGCGGCAGCAGUGGGGAAUAUUGGGCAAUGGCCGCAAGCCUGACCCAGCAACGCCGCGUGAAGGAAGAAGGCUUUCGGGUUGUAAACUUCUUUUCUCAGGGACGAAUAAAGUGACGGUACCUGAGGAAUAAGCCACGGCUAACUUCGUGCCAGCCGCCGCGGUAAUCCGUAGGUGGCAAGCUUUAUCCGGAUUGACUGGGUGUAAAGGGUGUGUAGGCGGGGAAGUAAUUCAGAUGUGAAGACCCCGGGCCAAAGCUGUGGCCUGCAUUUGAAACUUUUUUUCUGGAGUGCUGGAGAGGUAGACGGAAUUCCUAGUGUAGCGGUGAAAUGCGUAGAUAUUAGGCGGAACACCAGUUGCGAAGGCGGCCUGCUGGACAGCAACUGACGCUGAGGCGCGAAAGCGUGGGGAGCAAACAGGAUUAGAUACCCUAGUAGUC